This is a non-coding RNA of Arthrobacter sp. FB24, 77 nucleotides long. The record is from Rfam. NCBI's taxonomy places the organism in Bacteria, Bacillati, Actinomycetota, Actinomycetes, Micrococcales, Micrococcaceae.
CGCGGUCCUCGGUAGUGAUUCCCGGGAACGGCUUCGAAGAAUGAAGCCCGGCCCGUGGGUCUCGAUCGAUGACCGGG